GUCCAUGUAGCCGAUGCGCGCGUGGGAGUCGAUCCGGCGCGGAAGGGAGGUGAGGCGCGCGACGGUGCUAAGGGUCUGGCUCGGGAGGGAGGCAAGGAUGCGGACAUAGAAGGGGCAGCGAUCCCCACUCGCCGCCUAUGAAUCCUGGCUUGGGAGGGAGGCGAGGAUGCGGUCAUCGAAGGGGCAGCAAUCCCCACUCGCCGCCGAUAAAUCCUGGUCUCAAACGGCGGCGUCAUGGGAGCACUCUCAGACCGGUGCAGCCAUGGGGGUGGUCUCAACUGCCAGGGGAACGAUAGUUGGCACUUGGCAGCAAGAAAACAGAGAAACCAGAAACUCAGUGAUAGAUAGGAGGUCAGCAGGUGGCUAUAUAGACUCCGCUACUGCGGGUCAUGCUGGGCAUCAGUUUGCGAUGUGAGUGGUGGAGAUGAUGGGAGGAGGGGUGACGAUGAUGGAUCGGCAGAGAAAAGGAUUCAGGAAUACUUUCCCAUGGCUUUUCCGCUGGGAGUCUAACAGCUCAACGUUUGUCGGUGCCCUUGUGCUCAAAAUUCCUAUACAUGUUGAUCCAUGUAUGGCUUCCUAGAAUCAAACUUUGGUUUUUUUUAAGGAGAACACUUUGGUCAUUUUUUAACGUUUUCUACUGUACAGUCUUUGCUUUUAAAGUGAUGUUGAUCCGAUAUAUGUUGAGAAUAUCA
Long non-coding RNA from Triticum dicoccoides, 692 nucleotides. RefSeq lists it as uncharacterized. NCBI's taxonomy places the organism in Eukaryota, Viridiplantae, Streptophyta, Magnoliopsida, Poales, Poaceae. The record is from RefSeq and is a predicted model, not a curated record. The transcript has 3 exons.